RNAcentral lists this ribosomal RNA (497 nucleotides) under uncultured bacterium. Its description in RNAcentral is "partial 16S ribosomal RNA". It matches the Rfam family "Bacterial small subunit ribosomal RNA", at positions 28 to 507 of the family's 1533-position model. The record is from RNAcentral.
GAUGAACGCUGGCGGCGUGCCUAAUACAUGCAAGUCGAGCGAACGGACGAGAAGCUUGCUUCUCUGAUGUUAGCGGCGGACGGGUGAGUAACACGUGGAUAACCUACCUAUAAGACUGGGAUAACUUCGGGAAACCGGAGCUAAUACCGGAUAAUAUUUUGAACCGCAUGGUUCAAAAAUGAAAGACGGUCUUGCUGUCACUUAUAGAUGGAUCCGCGCUGCAUUAGCUAGUUGGUAAGGUAACGGCCUACCAAGGCAACGAUGCAUAGCCGACCUGAGAGGGUGAUCGGCCACACUGGAACUGAGACACGGUCCAGACUCCUACGGGAGGCAGCAGUAGGGAAUCUUCCGCAAUGGGCGAAAGCCUGACGGAGCAACGCCGCGUGAGUGAUGAAGGUCUUCGGAUCGUAAAACUCUGUUAUUAGGGAAGAACAUAUGUGUAAGUAACUGUGCACAUCUUGACGGUACCUAAUCAGAAAGCCACGGCUAACUACGUG